AGCUUGGGCAGUGGCAGUAUCAUAGCCAAUGAGGCUUAUCUGAGGCACAAUUAUUAUUGCUAAUUGAAAACCUUUCCCAAUACCCUGCCAUGAUGCCUUGAAAUAUAGUCGGCAUUGGCAAUUUUUGACAGUUGCUAAGGAAA
Dipodomys ordii (Ord's kangaroo rat) is the source of this 143-nucleotide small nuclear RNA. Its record names the gene U4. It matches the Rfam family "U4 spliceosomal RNA". Rfam says of the family: U4 small nuclear RNA (U4 snRNA) is a component of the major U2-dependent spliceosome. The structure of U4 snRNA from yeast and human has been reported. The record is from Ensembl. Lineage: Eukaryota; Metazoa; Chordata; Mammalia; Rodentia; Heteromyidae.